Molecule: ribosomal RNA, 433 nt
Filed under: uncultured bacterium
Lineage: Bacteria
Description: partial 16S ribosomal RNA
Rfam family: Bacterial small subunit ribosomal RNA
Source: RNAcentral
AACGAACGCUGGCGGCAUGCCUAACACAUGCAAGUCGAACGAGACCUUCGGGUCUAGUGGCGCACGGGUGCGUAACGCGUGGGAACCUGCCCUUAGGUUCGGAAUAACUCCCCGAAAGGGGUGCUAGUACCGGAUAAUGUCUUCGGACCAAAGAUUUAUCGCCUUUGGAUGGGCCCGCGUUGGAUUAGCUAGUUGGUAGGGUAAAAGCCUACCAAGGCGACGAUCCAUAGCUGGUCUGAGAGGAUGAUCAGCCACACUGGGACUGAGACACGGCCCAGACUCCUACGGGAGGCAGCAGUGGGGAAUAUUGGACAAUGGGCGAAAGCCUGAUCCAGCAAUGCCGCGUGAGUGAUGAAGGCCUUAGGGUUGUAAAGCUCUUUUACCCGGGAUGAUAAUGACAGUACCGGGAGAAUAAGCGCCGGCUAACUCCGUG